UACGUAGGGUGCGAGCGUUGCCCGGAUUUAUUGGGCGUAAAGGGCGCGUAGGCGGCUCUGCACGUCCGUUGUGAAAUCGCCCGGCUCAACUGGGCGGGGUCAGCGGAUACGGCGGAGCUUGAGCAAGCUAGGGGGCAAUGGAAUUCCCGGUGUAGUGGUGGAAUGCGUAGAGAUCCGGGAAGAACACCAGUGGCGAAGGCGGCCCGCUGGGCAGUGGCUGACGCUGAGGCGCGACAGGCGUGGGGAGCAACAGG
RNAcentral lists this ribosomal RNA (254 nucleotides) under uncultured bacterium. RNAcentral's name for it is "partial 16S ribosomal RNA". It matches the Rfam family "Bacterial small subunit ribosomal RNA", at positions 524 to 775 of the family's 1533-position model. The record is from RNAcentral.